GUCAGAGAGAGGAAGGAAGAAAAAAUGGCAUACUCUGCCCGCGCCGCCGUCUCUGCCGUGAGAUCCACUCUUCGUCGGGCGACCCUCGCCGCCUCCUCGUCCCCUUAUCCCGCCGGGGCCAUCGAGGUCCUCCACAUGUCAGCGACGGCAGGUUUGGAGGCGCGGAUGUUGUGCAGAGCGAGGCGGCGGCGGCGGCAUGCCUGGGAUCCUGCAUCACCCGAGGUUAUUUUUGUAUUUUUGUGAUGAGUGAAACUGGUUCAACCAUAGGUUUUAUGCCUCCAGUUUUCAAUGGCGACGACUGCAGCUCCAGGGUACUGGUCCUUAGGGUAUGUGCACGAAGACUUCCCAGAUGUCAUCGACAAGAUCAAGCCGGCUCCGGUAGUGGAGCAACAAGAGUGGCGCGUCGACGGCUCGUUCUGGCUACAAUAGUGGUCUUCCGCUGGCCUCAGAAUCUCGAUGUAAUUUUUACUAUGUUUGAGAU
Molecule: long non-coding RNA, 481 nt
Organism: Triticum aestivum (bread wheat)
Lineage: Eukaryota; Viridiplantae; Streptophyta; Magnoliopsida; Poales; Poaceae
Exons: 3
Source: RefSeq, a predicted model, not a curated record